This 407-nucleotide ribosomal RNA is filed under the name uncultured bacterium. Its description in RNAcentral is "partial 16S ribosomal RNA". It matches the Rfam family "Bacterial small subunit ribosomal RNA", at positions 30 to 526 of the family's 1533-position model. The record is from RNAcentral.
AUUGAACGCUGGCGGCAGGCCUAACACAUGCAAGUCGAGCGGAGCGGCGGACGGGUGAGUAAUGCCUAGGAAUCUGCCUGGUAGUGGGGGAUAACGUCCGGAAACGGGCGCUCAUCUCGCAUACUAUAAGAUUAUCCUAGGUCGGAUUCGCUAGUUGGUGGGGUAACGGCCUACCAGGGCGACGAUCCGUAACUGGUCUGAGAGGAUGAUCAGGCACACUGGAAAGGAGACACGGUCCAGACUCCUACGUGAGGCAGCAGUGGGGAAGAUGGGACAAUGGGCGAAAGCCUGAUCCAGCCAUACCGCGUGUGUGAAGAAGGUCUUCGGAUUGGAAAGCACUUUAAGUUGGGAGGCGUUACCAACAGAAUAAGCACCGGCUAACUUCGUGCCAGCAGCCGCGGUAAUAC